Molecule: small RNA, 168 nt
Filed under: Streptomyces glaucescens
Lineage: Bacteria; Bacillati; Actinomycetota; Actinomycetes; Kitasatosporales; Streptomycetaceae
Description: c-di-AMP sequence
Rfam family: c-di-AMP riboswitch aptamer (ydaO/yuaA leader)
About the family: This family represents a conserved RNA structure found upstream of the ydaO and yuaA genes in Bacillus subtilis and related genes in other bacteria.
Source: RNAcentral
GCGCGGCCUCCGCCGAGUCCGGCGCGCCUGCGGCGGCCGGAGCCGGGGACCCAACCGACCCUGGGGUGAAUCGGCCCCUCCCCGUCCCGGGAGGACCGUAGGGCAACCCUUCCGAACCACCCGCCCGAACCCGACAGCUAACCCGGUAGGCGGCCGAUGGAAGGAGUC